UUCUCCGGAUGAGUUGCGAACGGGUGAGUAACGCGUAGGUAACCUGCCUGGUAGCGGGGGAUAACUAUUGGAAACGAUAGCUAAUACCGCAUAAGAGUAGAUGUUGCAUGACAUUUGCUUAAAAGGUGCAAUUGCAUCACUACCAGAUGGACCUGCGUUGUAUUAGCUAGUUGGUGGGGUAACGGCUCACCAAGGCGACGAUACAUAGCCGACCUGAGAGGGUGAUCGGCCACACUGGGACUGAGACACGGCCCAGACUCCUACGGGAGGCAGCAGUAGGGAAUCUUCGGCAAUGGACGGAAGUCUGACCGAGCAACGCCGCGUGAGUGAAGAAGGUUUUCGGAUCGUAAAGCUCUGUUGUAAGAGAAGAACGAGUGUGAGAGUGGAAAGUUCACACUGUGACGGUAUCUUACCAGAAAGGGACGGCUAACUACGUGCCAGCAGCCGCGGUAAUACGUAGGUCCCGAGCGUUGUCCGGAUUUAUUGGGCGUAAAGCGAGCGCAGGCGGUUAGAUAAGUCUGAAGUUAAAGGCUGUGGCUUAACCAUAGUACGCUUUGGAAACUGUUUAACUUGAGUGCAAGAGGGGAGAGUGGAAUUCCAUGUGUAGCGGUGAAAUGCGUAGAUAUAUGGAGGAACACCGGUGGCGAAAGCGG
Molecule: ribosomal RNA, 653 nt
Filed under: uncultured Bacilli bacterium
Lineage: Bacteria; Bacillati; Bacillota; Bacilli
Description: bacterial SSU rRNA
Rfam family: Bacterial small subunit ribosomal RNA
Source: RNAcentral